UUUUGAGUGUGUAUUAACCCUCGGCGGGACAAUAACCCAAACCCAUUAUCAGAGUUGAAGGUCUUAUCAUUUCCCAG
RNAcentral lists this transfer RNA (77 nucleotides) under Salmonella sp. FORC89. RNAcentral's name for it is "tRNA-Arg". The record is from RNAcentral. Lineage: Bacteria; Pseudomonadati; Pseudomonadota; Gammaproteobacteria; Enterobacterales; Enterobacteriaceae.